CCUCGGCUUUUCAUUGUUGCAAGCAUAUUCUAAUAACUGCACUAACCGCACUAUUCAUCGCUUUGUAUUCUAAAUUUUCCACUUUAAAUUUGUUCCUUUGGCUGCUUUCAAUGCCAAUUCAGUAAUUUGAUUAACCUUUUGUCCCCAUUUAGAAUUCAACUUAGCAAAAAAGUGCUCUUUUUUGUUGUUGACGAUUUGUAUAUGAUUCUUCUCUGUUAUUUGUGAUUAAAUAUUAUUAGGUUUUGUGCCAUCUUUAGGGGUUCCCUUCUGAUGGACGACGGGGAGCUUGAUUUCUCGAACCAGGAAGUGUUCUCAAGUCCAAACAUGGCUGAACUUCCAAGCAGUGGAUCAAUGGAUAGCUUCUUUGAGGAACUCCUCAAGGACAGCCAUGCUUGCACGCAUACCCACACCUGUAACCCCCCUGGUCCUGAUCAUUCCCAUACUCAUACCUGCUACCAUGUUCAUACCAAGAUUGUGCCUGCGCCGUCUGAGGAGCAAGUUGGAACUGACGACACUGCUGAGUCUGCUGAAAAGAAGUCAAAGAAGCGCCCAUUGGGUAAUCGGGAAGCCGUACGCAAGUACCGCGAGAAGAAGAAGGCUCGGGCUGCUUCUUUGGAGGAUGAGGUUGUCAAAUUGAGAGCUUUGAACCAGCACUUGAUGAGGAAGUUGCAAAGCCAGGCUGCUUUGGAGGCAGAAAUAUCGAGGUUGAAGUGCUUGCUAGUUGACAUUAGGGGCAGGAUUGAAGGAGAAAUUGGAACAUUCCCAUAUCAGAAGCCAGCGGCUCCUGCUGUGAACCCGCCAGCACAGAACUUACCUGGCUCGUAUGUGAUGAACCCUUGUAACUUGCAGUGUGAUGAUCGGGUCUAUUGCCUUCACCCGGGAGCAGAUGGAAAGAUUGCCGAAGGUGCAUCACUAACUACUGAAGGAUUUAAUGGUUGUGAAUUUGAGAAUCUUCAGUGCCUAGCAAGCCAGAAUCUGGCCCUUAAGGAUCUACCUUCUUGUGGAGUUGGACAAACAGUGUCUAAUGUGAAUUCUUCUGCAUCAAACAAAAGAAAAGGGGGUUCUCGUGCAAUGACAGCUGGCUGAAGAAUAAAAUGGUACUUUUUGUUGUAGCCAUGUUAAUAUCUACUUCCAAUAACUCAUUACCAAUCGCAACAUCAGCCAUCCAGAAGGUCAUCUUUUAAAGUAAUUUUCUCUGUUUGGCCCUCUGCUUGUGUAAUGGGUUGGGAUGGCUGUUCUAGUAUUGGAAGAUGAGUCCUAGCUCAAUGUUCUGUUAGCAGAAUUAGCAGUUGAUCUGUAGCUGGUAUAGCUUAUGCAAUUCAAUUUGCGAUCUUUUGAUUAUCUUUGAACUAGUUAAACUGCUAUCAUAAAUGUUUCUCUACUGGUUCAUUCUUGAAUCAUGUAAGUAUUUGUGUUGUUGUUUGCACUGUUUAAUGAUCCAAUAUUUAAGCAGAAAUUCAUGAUUUCUAAGUACAAUAAGUUUGUUAUUGCUGGAUUACAGAACUUGGGGAGAUGGGGUUGUGUUUCAUCUUCUAGUACUCUGGAUGUGUACAGCAUUUUGCUGGACAAAUGUUGACAAUGUGACUGAAGAUGUCAUAUAUGGGCUCUCCUCUUCCCCGAAUCAAGCCGGACUUGUGAUUUGCUUUGUGUUUGAUAUAAGUGGCUGUUAGCUUUGCUAAUUGACACUGGCAACACUAGUGAGACAUAUGUACAUAGGUGGAGUUGACUUAAUGAGAAGUUUUAUCACAGGGAUCAUCAUGCAUCAUUCUCAUCAA
Molecule: non-coding RNA, 1775 nt
Organism: Arachis ipaensis
Lineage: Eukaryota; Viridiplantae; Streptophyta; Magnoliopsida; Fabales; Fabaceae
Source: RefSeq, a predicted model, not a curated record